Molecule: ribosomal RNA, 497 nt
Filed under: uncultured bacterium
Lineage: Bacteria
Description: partial 16S ribosomal RNA
Rfam family: Bacterial small subunit ribosomal RNA
Source: RNAcentral
GACGAACGCUGGCGGCGUGCCUAAUACAUGCAAGUUGAGCGCUGAAGGUUGGUACUUGUACCAACUGGAUGAGCAGCGAACGGGUGAGUAACGCGUGGGGAAUCUGCCUUUGAGCAGGGGACAACAUUUGGAAACGAAUGCUAAUACCGCAUAAAAACUUUAAACACAAGUUUUAAGUUUGAAAGAUGCAAUUGCAUCACUCAAAGAUGAUCCCGCGUUGUAUUAGCUAGUUGGUGAGGUAAAGGCUCACCAAGGCGAUGAUACAUAGCCGACCUGAGAGGGUGAUCGGCCACAUUGGGACUGAGACACGGCCCAAACUCCUACGGGAGGCAGCAGUAGGGAAUCUUCGGCAAUGGACGAAAGUCUGACCGAGCAACGCCGCGGGAGUGAAGAAGGGUUUCGGAUCGUAAAACUCUGUUGGUAGAGAAGAACGUUGGUGAGAGUGGAAAGCUCACCAAGUGACGGUAACUACCCAGAAAGGGACGGCUAACUACGUG